ACGAACGCUGGCGGCGUGCUUAACACAUGCCAGUCGAACGCUGAAGCUUGGUGCUUGCACUGGGUGGAUGAGUGGCGAACGGGUGAGUAAUACGUGAGUAACCUGCCCUUGACUCUGGGAUAAGCCUGGGAAACUGGGUCUAAUACUGGAUACGACAUGUCACCGCAUGGUGGUGUGUGGAAAGGGUUUUACUGGUUUUGGAUGGGCUCACGGCCUAUCAGCUUGUUGGUGGGGUAAUGGCUCACCAAGGCGACGACGGGUAGCCGGCCUGAGAGGGUGACCGGCCACACUGGGACUGAGACACGGCCCAGACUCCUACGGGAGGCAGCAGUGGGGAAUAUUGCACAAUGGGCGGAAGCCUGAUGCAGCGACGCCGCGUGAGGGAUGACGGCCUUCGGGUUGUAAACCUCUUUCAGCACGGAAGAAGCGAAAGUGACGGUACGUGCAGAAGAAGCGCCGGCUAACUACGUG
Molecule: ribosomal RNA, 471 nt
Filed under: uncultured bacterium
Lineage: Bacteria
Description: partial 16S ribosomal RNA
Rfam family: Bacterial small subunit ribosomal RNA
Source: RNAcentral